GGCCAUAACUUGGUGGUAGAGCACCUGCUUUGCAUGCAGAAGGUCUCAGGUUCAAAACCUGGCAUCUCCA
Molecule: non-coding RNA, 70 nt
Organism: Podarcis lilfordi (Lilford's wall lizard)
Lineage: Eukaryota; Metazoa; Chordata; Lepidosauria; Squamata; Lacertidae
Source: the annotation of a GenBank genome assembly